CACGUAGGGGGCGAGCGUUGUCCGGAAUUAUUGGGCGUAAAGAGCUCGUAGGCGGCCUGUUGCGUCCGCUGUGAAAGCCCGGGGCUUAACCCCGGGUCGGCAGUGGAUACGGGCAGGCUAGAGGUAGGUAGGGGAGAAUGGAAUUCCCGGUGUAGCGGUGAAAUGCGCAGAUAUCGGGAGGAACACCGGUGGCGAAGGCGGUUCUCUGGGCCUUACCUGACGCUGAGGAGCGAAAGCGUGGGGAGCAAACAGG
Molecule: ribosomal RNA, 253 nt
Filed under: uncultured bacterium
Lineage: Bacteria
Description: partial 16S ribosomal RNA
Rfam family: Bacterial small subunit ribosomal RNA
Source: RNAcentral